RNAcentral lists this ribosomal RNA (274 nucleotides) under uncultured bacterium. RNAcentral describes it as "partial 16S ribosomal RNA". It matches the Rfam family "Bacterial small subunit ribosomal RNA", at positions 523 to 796 of the family's 1533-position model. The record is from RNAcentral.
AUACGGAGGGGGCUAGCGUUGUUCGGAAUUACUGGGCGUAAAGGGCGCGUAGGCGGUAUAUCAAGUUAGGCGUGAAAGCCCUGGGCUCAACCCGGGAACUGCGCUUAUUACUGAUGAACUAGAGUCCGGGAGAGGGUAGCGGAAUUCCCAGUGUAGAGGUGAAAUUCGUAGAUAUUGGGAAGAACACCAGUUGCGAAGGCGGCUGCCUGGACCGGUACUGACGCUGAGGUGCGAAAGCGUGGGGAGCAAACAGGAUUAGAAACCCCAGUAGUCC